GACGACGGUCAUAACAUCGGGGAAAUACCAGGUCUCAUUCCGAACCCGACGGUUAAGUCCGAUGUGUUGCAUACUGUACUAUCUUCCGCGAGGGGACGGGAACUAUGUUUCGCUGUCGUUU
Ferroplasma sp. Type II is the source of this 121-nucleotide non-coding RNA. The record is from Rfam. Lineage: Archaea; Methanobacteriati; Thermoplasmatota; Thermoplasmata; Thermoplasmatales; Ferroplasmaceae.